This 1570-nucleotide ribosomal RNA is filed under the name Pseudoalteromonas sp. S4491. RNAcentral's name for it is "partial 23S ribosomal RNA". It matches the Rfam family "Bacterial large subunit ribosomal RNA", at positions 1 to 1629 of the family's 2925-position model. Lineage: Bacteria; Pseudomonadati; Pseudomonadota; Gammaproteobacteria; Alteromonadales; Pseudoalteromonadaceae. The record is from RNAcentral.
GUUGUAUGGUUAAGUGACUAAGCGUACACGGUGGAUGCCUUGGCAGUUGGAGGCGAUGAAGGACGUAUUAACUUGCGAUAAGCCUAGUCAAGCUAGUAAAAAGCGCUUGAGGCUAGGAUUUCCGAAUGGGGAAACCCACCUGCUUGCAGGUAUCUUGCACUGAAUACAUAGGUGUAAGAGGCGAACGCGGAGAACUGAAACAUCUAAGUACCCGUAGGAACAGAAAUCAACCGAGAUUCCGGAAGUAGCGGCGAGCGAAACCGGACCAGCCCUUAAGCUUAUUAUGUGUUAGUGGAACAUUCUGGAAAGUUUGACGAUACAGGGUGAUAGUCCCGUACACGAAAAUGCAUCUUAAGUGAAAUCGAGUAGGUCGGAGCACGUGAAACUUUGACUGAAUAUAGGUGGACCAUCAUCUAAGGCUAAAUACUCCCAACUGACCGAUAGUGAACCAGUACCGUGAGGGAAAGGCGAAAAGAACCCCUGUGAGGGGAGUGAAAUAGAACCUGAAACCGUGUACGUACAAGCAGUAGGAGCCCUUCGAGGGUGACUGCGUACCUUUUGUAUAAUGGGUCAGCGACUUAUAUUUUGUAGCGAGGUUAACCGAUUAGGGUAGCCGUAGGGAAACCGAGUCUUAACUGGGCGUAUAGUUGCAAGGUAUAGACCCGAAACCCGGUGAUCUAGCCAUGGGCAGGUUGAAGGUUGAGUAACAUCAACUGGAGGACCGAACCCACUAACGUUGAAAAGUUAGGGGAUGACCUGUGGCUAGGAGUGAAAGGCUAAUCAAACCGGGAGAUAGCUGGUUCUCCCCGAAAUCUAUUUAGGUAGAGCCUCGGACGAAUACUUACGGGGGUAGAGCACUGUUAAGGCUAGGGGGUCAUCCCGACUUACCAACCCUUUGCAAACUCCGAAUACCGUAAAGUACUAUCCGGGAGACACACGGCGGGUGCUAACGUCCGUCGUGAAGAGGGAAACAACCCAGACCGCCAGCUAAGGUCCCAAAGUCAUAGUUAAGUGGGAAACGAUGUGGAAAGGCCCAGACAGCCAGGAGGUUGGCUUAGAAGCAGCCAUCCUUUAAAGAAAGCGUAAUAGCUCACUGGUCGAGUCGGUCUGCGCGGAAGAUGUAACGGGGCUAAACUAUGCACCGAAGCUGCGGAUUCAAACUUUGUUUGAGUGGUAGGGGAGCGUUCUGUAAGCCGUUGAAGGUGUACCGGGAGGUAUGCUGGAGGUAUCAGAAGUGCGAAUGCUGACAUGAGUAACGAUAAUGCGGGUGAAAAACCCGCACGCCGGAAGACCAAGGGUUCCUAUCCCAUGUUAAUCAGGGUAGGGUAAGUCGACCCCUAAGGCGAGGCCGAAAGGCGUAGUCGAUGGGAAACGGGUUAAUAUUCCCGUACUUGGUAUAAUUGCGAUGGGGGGACGGAGCAGGCUAAACAAGCAUGGCGUUGGUUGUCCAUGUGAAAGUGAGUAGGUUGAGAGUUUAGGAAAAUCCGGACUCUUAAGACUGAGACACGAGACGAGCACCCAAGGGUGUGAAGUUGUUGAUGCCAUACUUCCAGGAAAAGCCUCUAAGCUU